This 583-nucleotide ribosomal RNA is filed under the name uncultured bacterium. RNAcentral describes it as "bacterial SSU rRNA". It matches the Rfam family "Bacterial small subunit ribosomal RNA", at positions 338 to 911 of the family's 1533-position model. The record is from RNAcentral.
CCUACGGGAGGCAGCAGUAGGGAAUCUUCCGCAAUGGACGAAAGUCUGACGGAGCAACGCCGCGUGAGUGAUGAAGGCUUUCGGGUCGUAAAACUCUGUUGUUAGGGAAGAACAAGUGCUAGUUGAAUAAGCUGGCACCUUGACGGUACCUAACCAGAAAGCCACGGCUAACUACAUGCCAGCAGCCGCGGUAAUACGUAGGUGGCAAGCGUUAUCCGGAAUUAUUGGGCGUAAAGCGCGCGCAGGUGGUUUCUUAAGUCUGAUGUGAAAGCCCACGGCUCAACCGUGGAGGGUCAUUGGAAACUGGGAGACUUGAGUGCAGAAGAGGAAAGUGGAAUUCCAUGUGUAGCGGUGAAAUGCGUAGAGAUAUGGAGGAACACCAGUGGCGAAGGCGACUUUCUGGUCUGUAACUGACACUGAGGCGCGAAAGCGUGGGGAGCAAACAGGAUUAGAUACCCUGGUAGUCCACGCCGUAAACGAUGAGUGCUAAGUGUUAGAGGGUUUCCGCCCUUUAGUGCUGAAGUUAACGCAUUAAGCACUCCGCCUGGGGAGUACGGCCGCAAGGCUGAAACUCAAAGGAAUU